Molecule: ribosomal RNA, 426 nt
Filed under: uncultured bacterium
Lineage: Bacteria
Description: partial 16S ribosomal RNA
Rfam family: Bacterial small subunit ribosomal RNA
Source: RNAcentral
GUGAGGAAUUUUCCGCAAUGGGCGAAAGCCUGACGGAGCAAUGCCGCGUGAAGGAUGAAGGCCUAUGGGUUGUAAACUUCUUUUCUCAGAAAAGAAUUAUGACGGUAUCUGAGGAAUAAGCAUCGGCUAACUCUGUGCCAGCAGCCGCGGUAAGACAGAGGAUGCAAGCGUUAUCCGGAAUGAUUGGGCGUAAAGCGUCUGUAGGUUGUUUAAAAAGUAUUCUGUCAAAGAUUAGGGCUUAACCCUAGAUAGGCAGAAUAAACUUUUAAGCUAGAGUUUGGUAGAGGCAGAGGGAAUUCCCGGUGGAGCGGUGAAAUGCGUAGAUAUCGGGAGGAACGCCAAAGGCGAAGGCACUCUGCUGGGCCAAUACUAACACUGAGAGACGAAAGCGAGGGGAGCAAAUGGGAUUAGAAACCCUUGUAGUCC